AAGGGAGAAGAGGGUGUUCUCUGCUUUCUACAGUUAUGGAGUCCCUGUGGGGCCGCUGUUUCCCCUCCCAGGCUCUAAUGCUCAGGAUCCCCCUGCUCCUGGCACCUGUGUCAUGCCGAAAAGCUACUGGCGGUCCCUGUGAUGUGCCAGAGACUGGGGACCAUUUCCCACGUUGACUCCGUGUCCCUGGUCAUUCCCUGUCUGGGCUGGAAGCCCAGGGACGACCCCAUCAUGCAGAAGUUCCUGCGCAGACAUUCCUUUUGUUCCACUUGCAGCAGUGAGACCAUGGAAGCGUCCAGAGGGCAGGUUCCCACAGACGUGGGUCAGCAUGAAAGUGGGGACGAUGCCGCGCUGGUGGGGAGGUGGGCUGGUGACAGGGAACAAGGACGUGCUCAGAAGGCCGGGAAGGAAGCAGGUGGGAAGCACCUCCAGAGCUCAGGUGCAGCAGGGCUGGAGGAGCCGAGGUCUGGUCCCCCUGCCCCACUGGUGUCUGCUGUUGGCAAGAGUGAACUGUGCUCUGUCACUGUCCCUCUGCUCCACCCCAGCCUCUGGGAACGUGAUGACAUUUGUGUUUCUCUGCCGGGAAUAGCUGCCUUCACCCCAGUUUCCUUGCCCAUCUGAGUCCACUUCCUCCUCUGCCCACAGAUGCUGGGGUUUCCUGAUCCGGGUCAGGGAGCCUGUGGUGAGCCAUCAGGGAGCCCUGCUGGGGCUCUCUGGGAGAUGCAGGUACAUCCAGGCUCUACCCCCGUGUCCCCAGAGCACUGCCCGUGUUGUGCCGGCACAGCAUCUGUCCCCAGUGUCAGAGAGCCGGGAGCGGGCCAGCGAGAGGAGGGCCCCGGGAGCCCCCUGUCCUCCAGCAGCCCCACAUGUGUGCUCUGGGCUGCCCUCCACCCCGGGGGCUGGCCGUGCCCGGACCAGGAGGGCCCAGUGUCCCUGCCUCAGCCAUGGGGACGGCACCUCUCCUGCCACCACAGCCAGGCUGCUGGGAGUCCCCUGAGCUGGGAGAGGACAGAGGCGCAGCUGGGGCCAGCUAUUCCCUCACCAAGCUUCCAGGCUAUGGCCGACCCCAGCUCCUCCCACACCCUGGAAAGGACCGUUGGGGACUCUGUCCAGCUGCACCUGAUCUCCUCCUUGUCCCCUAAUGUCCGAGAGGUUGAGUGGAGUUGGCAAUCUGAGUCCGAGAAACAACAGUUCCUGGUGUCCUGGAAGCCUGAUGACUCUGGUCCUGACUGGUAUGAGCUUGAAGGAAAAUUCAGGAGCAGUCUCUCCCUGACAGAGAUGGCAGUUUUGAGCAUCAGGAAUCUCAGUACGGAAAUGAGUGGAUGGUAUACAGCAAAUGUCAAAUUCCGCACAGGAAAAUCCCAGAAGGAGGUCUUUAGACUCUGUGUAUAUGAGCCCAUCCCCCACCCCCAGAUUGUGAUUCAUUCACCAAUCAACCCAGCAGGCUGGUGCCAGGUCAGCCUGGAGUGUGAGACCCCAGGAUCUACAGAGAACUGGACAGUGACCUGGCUGACUGAGGGCCUCCCCAGGGAGCUGGAGCAGAGCGGGGCUCUGAGGCCAGCCCCCAGCUCCAGGAAUGUAAACCUGCGCCUGCCCCUGAGCCAGGUGAAUGGCUACCUCACCUGUUUGGUCAGCAACCCUGUGGAGGAGAAGAAUGCCACCUUGCCCCUGCAGAGCAUCUGUCUGGUCAGGGGUUCUCCUGACCACAAAUGGCUUUGGAUAGGCGUCCUGUCCACGCUUCUAAUGAUGAGCCUGGCUGGUGGAGUGUACGUCUGCAUGAGGAAGAAGAUGCAGUCCAGGAGGGGUGGAAAGCUGGGACCCAGCAGUACCGAGGGCCGGCCCACUCUGCUGCCCACAGAGCCAGGCUCAGCCGGUGUUCCCCAGGCCCUUCCCACAGAGGAACCUGCUGGCCUGCAGACUGGUAGGGCCAACAGCCACUGCCGUCCCGACGUGGAGAUGAGCCUCCUGAGACACCACAAGAAUGACAUGGAGAGGAGUGGCGGCCAUCCCCUCAGCUCUGAGUGCACCCCAACAGUCUACACUAUCUACGAGAAGGUCCGGCUGAGCCGAGAGCCCCAGGAAGACACCUAGGUCGACGGAGAUGUCAGAGCAUGAGGGGCCUUGGCAAGAUCUGCCCCACCCUACACUCCACCUAAGGCCCCCCAAAUCCCUCCUUAGGUGGAGCGAAGACAAGCCCCCAGGUCUUCCUGCUGUACCCCCCAAGACAAUAGAGCAGCACCACAUGUCCCUGGGCUCCUCACAAAGUUCUUCUCACUUCACAGGUCGUGAACGUUGACCAUGCUGCCUGAGCGUCCAGCACGAGAGACUGGUCCUCGGGCGGGCAGUUGGAUUUCCGACCUUGACCCACUUAUUCCAGUGAGGGAAUACCCAUAGUCAGGCAAGACCUGCGGAGGCAUUUCUGGGAACAGAGAUGUUUUCCUGGAAUUGGGCGGGCCUUGGAUGGAGGACCGCCAGAUGUCACUGCCCAGCCCACCCCCAUGAACAGAGGAGGGAUGGCCCUGGGAAGGUCAAGUCCAGGGUCAGCUUCAGCUCUGCCAGAGGAAGGAAACAGCUCCUGAGCUCCAUCACCUGCAGGCUUACUGUAAACACCAGAAACGCACUAUCCCAAGGUCUCUCUUCAAAGUUCAAGCAAUUUCUCGACCCUUUUUUUUAUUACUUAAUAUAUGUAAAUUGCAAGAAAGUCAAAGGCAUGUCUCCUUGAAAUUAUAUUUCAUCAGUUUUGUUGCAAAUAGGAUCCUGUUCCUGUUGUAUCUUCUAAUUAGUUGUUAAAAUAACACAUAUUAAACACAUAUUGUCACAUCGCUGUUUCUCUACUGCUUGAAACAGCUUUUCAGUUGAUCCCUUUGAAUUUCUGGGCAAAGAACCAUAUUAUCGACAAAUAAUUAUAAUUUUUCCUUCCUUCUUUCCAAUUUUUAUGCUUCAUUCCUCUCCUGUUGUCUCACUAUGCUGGCAAAUACCUCCCAGACCAUGUUUAAGAGGAGUGAUUCUGAAGCACAUCCUUGUUUUGUUCCUAAUUUAUUGUAAGUGCUCCGAGGGCAUCCUUGUUAUUAGUAGAUUUCCUCCUAUUGAACUAUUCUUGUGGUAUUGGAAUAAAUCCCAGUUGAUGUAUUAUUCUCUUAAUGUG
This is a long non-coding RNA of Vulpes vulpes (red fox), 3145 nucleotides long. Ensembl lists it as uncharacterized. The record is from Ensembl. NCBI's taxonomy places the organism in Eukaryota, Metazoa, Chordata, Mammalia, Carnivora, Canidae.